Molecule: long non-coding RNA, 229 nt
Filed under: Gossypium barbadense (sea-island cotton)
Lineage: Eukaryota; Viridiplantae; Streptophyta; Magnoliopsida; Malvales; Malvaceae
Description: long non-coding RNA (GBAR_LNC010585)
Source: RNAcentral
CGGUUUCAUUUUGGCGUAUCGCUUGUGGACUAUUCUGCCAUCUUAUGGAUUCCUAUCCCACAUUUGGAGAGCUCUUUCGUGUAACACCCCAAACCCAACCCAGACGUUAUGGCUGAAUCUGGCGUGUUACAUUAAAGUGUUUUAGCAAAAACCGUGUUUUCAUUGAAAACCCUUCUUAAAAAAAUAACCCUAAUUAAAUAAAAAAAAACCUUUCGGUUUUGAAAGUCUU